This 331-nucleotide unclassified non-coding RNA is filed under the name uncultured fungus. Its description in RNAcentral is "partial contains 5.8S ribosomal RNA, internal transcribed spacer 2, and large subunit ribosomal RNA". The stretch from base 1 to 120 matches the Rfam family "5.8S ribosomal RNA", at positions 35 to 154 of the family's 154-position model. Lineage: Eukaryota; Fungi. The record is from RNAcentral. RNAcentral also lists the same sequence under 1 other name.
GAUGAAGAACGCAGCGAAAUGCGAUAAGUAAUGUGAAUUGCAGAAUUCAGUGAAUCAUCGAAUCUUUGAACGCACAUUGCGCCCCCUGGUAUUCCGGGGGGCAUGCCUGUUCGAGCGUCAUUUCACCACUCAAGCCUCGCUUGGUAUUGGGCAACGCGGUCCGCCGCGUGCCUCAAAUCGUCCGGCUGGGUCUUCUGUCCCCUAAGCGUUGUGGAAACUAUUCGCUAAAGGGUGUUCGGGAGGCUACGCCGUAAAACAACCCCAUUUCUAAGGUUGACCUCGGAUCAGGUAGGGAUACCCGCUGAACUUAAGCAUAUCAAUAAGCGGAGGA